UGGGGAAUUUUGGACAAUGGGCGAAAGCCUGAUCCAGCAAUGCCGCGUGUGUGAAGAAGGCCUUCGGGUUGUAAAGCACUUUUGUCCGGAAAGAAAUCCUUGGCUCUAAUACAGUCGGGGGAUGACGGUACCGGAAGAAUAAGCACCGGCUAACUACGUGCCAGCAGCCGCGGUAAUACGUAGGGUGCAAGCGUUAAUCGGAAUUACUGGGCGUAAAGCGUGCGCAGGCGGUUUGCUAAGACCGAUGUGAAAUCCCCGGGCUCAACCUGGGAACUGCAUUGGUGACUGGCAGGCUAGAGUAUGGCAGAGGGGGGUAGAAUUCCACGUGUAGCAGUGAAAUGCGUAGAGAUGUGGAGGAAUACCGAUGGCGAAGGCAGCCCCCUGGGCCAAUACUGACGCUCAUGCACGAAAGCGUGGGGAGCAAAACAGGAUUAGAUACCCUGGUAGUCCACGCCCUAAACGAUGUCAACUAGUUGUUGGGGAUUCAUUUCCUUAGUAACGUAGCUAACGCGUGAAGUUGACCGCCUGGGGAGUACGGUCGCAAGAUUAAAACUUCAAAGGAAUUGACGGGGUCAUAGCUGUUUCCU
RNAcentral lists this ribosomal RNA (587 nucleotides) under uncultured bacterium. RNAcentral's name for it is "partial 16S ribosomal RNA". It matches the Rfam family "Bacterial small subunit ribosomal RNA", at positions 355 to 1375 of the family's 1533-position model. The record is from RNAcentral.